GGAGAGAUGGCUGAGUUCGGUCGAAAGCGCUCGACUCGAAAUCGAGUAGGGGACUUAAUACCUUCCCUCGGGGGUUCGAAUCCCUCUCUCUCCGCCA
This 97-nucleotide transfer RNA is filed under the name Bacillota bacterium. Its description in RNAcentral is "tRNA-Ser". It matches the Rfam family "tRNA". From Rfam's summary of the family: Transfer RNA (tRNA) molecules are approximately 80 nucleotides in length. Their secondary structure includes four short double-helical elements and three loops (D, anti-codon, and T loops). The record is from RNAcentral. Lineage: Bacteria; Bacillati; Bacillota.